ACUCCUACGGGAGGCAGCAGUGGGAAUAUUGCACAAUGGGCGCAAGCCUGAUGCAGCCAUGCCGCGUGUAUGAAGAAGGCCUUCGGGUUGUAAAGUACUUUCAGCAGUGAGGAAGGUGGUAUGUUAAUAGUACAUAUUCAUUUGAUCGUUUAGCUUGCAGAAGAAGACACCGGCGUAACUCCGUGCCAGCAGCCGCGGUAAUACGGAGGGUGCGAGCGUUAAUCGGAAUUACUGGGCGUAAAGCGCAUGCAGGUGGUUUGUUAAGUCAGAUGUGAAAG
RNAcentral lists this ribosomal RNA (278 nucleotides) under uncultured bacterium. RNAcentral describes it as "partial 16S ribosomal RNA". It matches the Rfam family "Bacterial small subunit ribosomal RNA", at positions 335 to 600 of the family's 1533-position model. The record is from RNAcentral.